UACGUAGGGGGCAAGCGUUGUCCGGAAUCAUUGGGCGUAAAGCGCGCGUAGGCGGCUCGAUCAGUCUGCUGUAAAAGUCAAAGGCUCAACCUUUGAAUGUCAGUGGAUACUGCCGGGCUAGAGUCCGGAAGAGGCGAGUGGAACUCCUGGUGUAGCGGUGGAAUGCGCAGAUAUCAGGAAGAACACCAACGGCGAAGGCAGCUCGCUGGGACGGUACUGACGCUGAGACGCGAAAGCGUGGGGAGCGAACAGG
RNAcentral lists this ribosomal RNA (253 nucleotides) under uncultured bacterium. Its description in RNAcentral is "partial 16S ribosomal RNA". It matches the Rfam family "Bacterial small subunit ribosomal RNA", at positions 524 to 776 of the family's 1533-position model. The record is from RNAcentral.